UCGGGAAUAUUGCGCAAUGGAGGAAACUCUGACGCAGUGACGCCGCGUGCAGGAAGAAGGUUUUCGGAUUGUAAACUGCUUUAGACAGGGAAGAAAAAGGACAGUACCUGUAGAAUAAGCUCCGGCUAACUACGUGCCAGCAGCCGCGGUAAUACGUAGGGAGCAAGCGUUAUCCGGAUUUAUUGGGUGUAAAGGGUGCGUAGACGGGAAUGCAAGUUGGUUGUGAAAUCCCUCGGCUCAACUGAGGAAUUGCAACCAAAACUACAUUUCUUGAGUGCUGGAGAGGAAAGUGGAAUUCCUAGUGUAGCGGUGAAAUGCGUAGAUAUUAGGAGGAACACCAGUGGCGAAGGCGACUUUCUGGACAGUAACUGACGUUGAGGCACGAAAGUGUGGGGAGCAAACAGGAUUAGAUACC
RNAcentral lists this ribosomal RNA (415 nucleotides) under uncultured bacterium. Its description in RNAcentral is "bacterial SSU rRNA". It matches the Rfam family "Bacterial small subunit ribosomal RNA", at positions 355 to 786 of the family's 1533-position model. The record is from RNAcentral.